AAUCCUGAGGAGAAAAACACUGGAACUUUGAAGCUAUACCAAGCCUCCCUGCCAACAUUGCCAUCUUUUCCAUACAGUGGCUACCAGGAACGCCACAGAGAAGAUGAGCAACUAGUCCCUCUAAUUUCGAGCCAGGUGCCCCACUCUACCUUGUUCCUCCCAGUGGACAUGGCAGGUGCCACCUUGUUAUUUUUACCUUCUUACCUGCUCCACUUAGUUUUGAUGAAUGAUGCAGUCUUGAGAAAUGACAUUCAGAGUGUCAAGGGGUUUGAUGAUCAGGUAAGCUUUGGCUAUUGUUAGGGUUUAAAAAUGAGGCCCAAAAGCCUGAGCCCAAGUAGG
This 339-nucleotide long non-coding RNA is filed under the name Canis lupus familiaris (dog). Its description in RNAcentral is "lncRNA (ENSCAFG00000051805.1)". Lineage: Eukaryota; Metazoa; Chordata; Mammalia; Carnivora; Canidae. The record is from RNAcentral.